This 820-nucleotide ribosomal RNA is filed under the name uncultured bacterium. RNAcentral describes it as "bacterial SSU rRNA". It matches the Rfam family "Bacterial small subunit ribosomal RNA", at positions 33 to 850 of the family's 1533-position model. The record is from RNAcentral.
ACGCUGCGGCGGCUUAUACAUGCAAGUCGAGGGGCAGCAUGAGUGUAGCAAUACAUUUGAUGGCGACCGGCAAACGGGUGCGGAACACGUACACAACCUUCCUAUAAGUGGGGAAUAGCCCAGAGAAAUUUGGAUUAAUACCCCGUAACAUAAUGAUGUGGCAUCACAUUAUUAUUAUAGCUACGGCGCUUAUUGAUGGGUGUGCGGCUGAUUAGAUAGUUGGCGGGGUAACGGCCCACCAAGUCUACGAUCAGUAGCUGAUGUGAGAGCAUGAUCAGCCACACGGGCACUGAGACACGGGCCCGACUCCUACGGGAGGCAGCAGUAAGGAAUAUUGGUCAAUGGACGCAAGUCUGAACCAGCCAUGCCGCGUGAAGGAUUAAGGUCCUCUGGAUUGUAAACUUCUUUUAUCUGGGACGAAAAAAGGCGAUUCUUCGUCACUUGACGGUACCAGAUGAAUAAGCACCGGCUAACUCCGUGCCAGCAGCCGCGGUAAUACGGAGGGUGCAAGCGUUAUCCGGAUUCACUGGGUUUAAAGGGUGCGUAGGCGGGUAGGUAAGUCAGUGGUGAAAUCCUGGAGCUUAACUCCAGAACUGCCAUUGAUACUAUCUAUCUUGAAUAUUGUGGAGGUAAGCGGAAUAUGUCAUGUAGCGGUGAAAUGCUUAGAUAUGACAUAGAACACCUAUUGCGAAGGCAGCUUACUACGCAUAUAUUGACGCUGAGGCACGAAAGCGUGGGGAUCAAACAGGAUUAGAUACCCUGGUAGUCCACGCCCUAAACGAUGGAUACUCGACAUACGCGAUACACAGUGUGUGUCUGA